RNAcentral lists this non-coding RNA (20 nucleotides) under Arabidopsis thaliana (thale cress). Lineage: Eukaryota; Viridiplantae; Streptophyta; Magnoliopsida; Brassicales; Brassicaceae. The record is from RNAcentral.
AUAGGUACGGAGGGACUUGC